UACAGAGGGUGCAAGCGUUAAUCGGAAUUACUGGGCGUAAAGCGCGCGUAGGUGGUUUGUUAAGUUGGAUGUGAAAUCCCCGGGCUCAACCUGGGAACUGCAUUCAAAACUGACAAGCUAGAGUAUGGUAGAGGGUGGUGGAAUUUCCUGUGUAGCGGUGAAAUGCGUAGAUAUCGUUUGGAACGCCAAUGGUGAAAACAGGUAGCUGGGGGUGUGCUGACACUGAGACACGAAAGCCAGGGGAGCAAACGGG
Molecule: ribosomal RNA, 253 nt
Filed under: uncultured prokaryote
Description: partial 16S ribosomal RNA
Rfam family: Bacterial small subunit ribosomal RNA
Source: RNAcentral